UACGUAGGGUGCAAGCGUUAAUCGGAAUUACUGGUCGUAAAGCGUGCGCAGGCGGCUUUGCAAGACAGAUGUGAAAUCCCCGGGCUCAACCUGGGAACUGCAUUUGUGACUGCAUGGCUAGAGUGCGGCAGAGGGGGAUGGAAUUCCGCGUGUAGCAGUGAAAUGCGUAGAUAUGCGGAGGAACACCGAUGGCGAAGGCAAUCCCCUGGGCCUGCACUGACGCUCAUGCACGAAAGCGUGGGGAGCAAACAGG
RNAcentral lists this ribosomal RNA (253 nucleotides) under uncultured bacterium. RNAcentral describes it as "partial 16S ribosomal RNA". It matches the Rfam family "Bacterial small subunit ribosomal RNA", at positions 524 to 776 of the family's 1533-position model. The record is from RNAcentral.